This is a non-coding RNA of Pelobates cultripes (western spadefoot toad), 214 nucleotides long. The record is from the annotation of a GenBank genome assembly. NCBI's taxonomy places the organism in Eukaryota, Metazoa, Chordata, Amphibia, Anura, Pelobatidae.
AUGUUACUAGUAAAAGCUGAACAAUGAUUUUCAGGUGCCAUUAUAGGCCCUAUUAUUAGAAUGGUAGAUUGUUUGCAAGUGUUCUAGAUCAGUGUUCUUCAGACCUUCAACAGACCUGGAUUUCAAGAUCUCUCCAAAGAGGGGCAACCCAGGGGCGAAUGCUAGGGACAUCCAUGCCUCCAAACUGUCCCGAUAUUUGGGCCAUGUCCUGCCG